UGGGGAAUAUUGCACAAUGGGCGCAAGCCUGAUGCAGCAACGCCGCGUGAGGGAUGACGGCCUUCGGGUUGUAAACCUCUUUUAGCAGGGAAGAAGCGAAAGUGACGGUACCUGCAGAAAAAGCGCCGGCUAACUACGUGCCAGCAGCCGCGGUAAUACGUAGGGCGCAAGCGUUAUCCGGAAUUAUUGGGCGUAAAGAGCUCGUAGGCGGUUUGUCGCGUCUGCUGUGAAAUCCCGAGGCUCAACCUCGGGUCUGCAGUGGGUACGGGCAGACUAGAGUGCGGUAGGGGAGAUUGGAAUUCCUGGUGUAGCGGUGGAAUGCGCAGAUAUCAGGGGGAACACCGAUGGCGAAGGCAGAUCUCUGGGCCGUAACUGACGCUGAGGAGCGAAAGGGUGGGGAGCAAACAGGCUUAGAUACCCUGGUAGUCCACCCCGUAAACGUUGGGAACUAGUUGUGGGUCCAUUCCACGGAUUCCGUGACGCAGCUAACGCAUUAAGUUCCCCGCCUGGGGAGUACGGCCGCAAGGCUAAAACUCAAAUGAAUUGACGGGGUCAUAGCUGUUUCCU
This 567-nucleotide ribosomal RNA is filed under the name uncultured bacterium. RNAcentral describes it as "partial 16S ribosomal RNA". It matches the Rfam family "Bacterial small subunit ribosomal RNA", at positions 355 to 1375 of the family's 1533-position model. The record is from RNAcentral.